AGGUAAUAGGGUCUGUAGAUAGUGUAGGUAAUAGUAGAUAGUGUAGGUAAUAGUAGAUAGUGUAGGUAAUAGUAGAUAGUUUAGGUAAUAGUAGAUGGUUUAGGUAAUCGUAGAUAGUGUAGGUAAUAGUAGAUAGUGUAGGUAACAGUAGAUAGUUUAGGUAAUAGUAGAUGGUUUAGGUAAUCGUAGAUAGUGUAGGUAAUAGGGUCUGUAGAUAGUGUAGGUAAUAGGGUCUGUAGAUAGUGUAGGUAAUCGUAGAUAGUGUAGGUAAUAGGGUCUGUAGAUCGUGUAGGUAAUAGGGUCUGUAGAUAGUGUAGGUAAUAGUAGGUAGUGGAGGUAAUAGUAGAUAGUGUAGGUGAUAGUAGAUAGUGUAGGUAAUAGGGCCUGUAGAUAGUGUAGGUAAUCAUAGAUAGUAUAGGUAAUAGGGUCUGUAGAUAGUGUAGGUAAUAGUAGAUAGUGUAGGUAAUAGUAGAUAGUGUAGGUAAUAGUAGAUAGUGUAGGUAAUAGUAUAUAGUGUAGGUAUUAGGGUCUGUAGAUAGUGUAGGUAAUAGGGUCUGUAGAUAGUGUAGGUAAUAGUAGAUAGUGUAGGUAAUAGUAGAUAGUGUAGGUAAUAGUAGGUAGUGUAGGUAAUAGUAGAUAGUGUAGGUAAUAGUAGAUAGUGUAGGC
This is a long non-coding RNA of Oncorhynchus tshawytscha (Chinook salmon), 666 nucleotides long. The record is from Ensembl. NCBI's taxonomy places the organism in Eukaryota, Metazoa, Chordata, Actinopteri, Salmoniformes, Salmonidae.